This 584-nucleotide small RNA is filed under the name Pongo abelii (Sumatran orangutan). RNAcentral describes it as "retained intron". Lineage: Eukaryota; Metazoa; Chordata; Mammalia; Primates; Hominidae. The record is from RNAcentral.
ACUGUCAGGGCGCGAGCGGCGGGAGCGCACGCAGGGCUGGAGCGAGUGCAGCCGCCGCCGCCGCCGACACCGCGGCACAUGGGCCGGCCCGGCCGCUGCCGUCGCCCCUAGCCCCAGCAGCCCUGGUCUCGCAGCCUCCUGCGGCUCUGGUCGCCCGACCAGCCAUGUCUCUCGGCGGAGCCUCCGAGCGCAGCGUCCCGGCCACCAAGAUUGAAAUUACCGUGUCCUGCCGGAACCUGCUAGACCUUGAUACCUUCUUCAAGUCCGACCCCAGUAGGCGACUCCAGGACCGGGAGGGGGAACUUGGGGUCUGGGCGCGACUCAGGGGCGGGUGGAGUCGGGGCCAGGGGUGCGAGCCGACCUGACGUCCUUCCCUCCCCGCCCCCACCUGCAGUGGUGGUGCUUUACACGCAGAGCCGGGCCAGCCAGGAGUGGCGGGAGUUCGGACGGACCGAGGUGAUUGAUAACACGCUGAACCCAGACUUCGUGCGCAAAUUCGUCCUCGACUAUUUCUUUGAGGAAAAGCAAAAUCUGCGCUUCGAUGUGUGAGGCCCCGCCUGGAAUUCUGGCUUGGCCCGCCCCCG